GAUGAACGCUAGCUACAGGCUUAACACAUGCAAGUCGAGGGGCAGCAUGGUCUUAGCUUGCUAAGGCCGAUGGCGACCGGCGCACGGGUGAGUAACACGUAUCCAACCUGCCGUCUACUCUUAGACAGCCUUCUGAAAGGAAGAUUAAUACAAGAUGGCAUCAUGAGUCCGCAUGUUCACAUGAUUAAAGGUAUUCCGGUAGACGAUGGGGAUGCGUUCCAUUAGAUAGUAGGCGGGGUAACGGCCCACCUAGUCUUCGAUGGAUAGGGGUUCUGAGAGGAAGGUCCCCCACAUUGGAACUGAGACACGGUCCAAACUCCUACGGGAGGCAGCAGUGAGGAAUAUUGGUCAAUGGGCGCAGGCCUGAACCAGCCAAGUAGCGUGAAGGAUGACUGCCCUAUGGGUUGUAAACUUCUUUUAUAAAGGAAUAAAGUCGGGUAUGUAUACCCGUUUGCAUGUACUUUAUGAAUAAGGAUCGGCUAACUCCGUG
This 490-nucleotide ribosomal RNA is filed under the name uncultured bacterium. RNAcentral describes it as "partial 16S ribosomal RNA". It matches the Rfam family "Bacterial small subunit ribosomal RNA", at positions 28 to 507 of the family's 1533-position model. The record is from RNAcentral.